GAUAGGGGUUGUAUCUUUCGCAUGUAUAAUAGCUGCUUCGAAAUCUAUCAAACUCUUUAUGGAUAGGGGUUGUAUCUUUCGCAUGUAUAAUAGCUGCUUCGAGAUCUAUCAAACUCUUUAUGGAUAGGGGUUGUAUCUUUCGCAUGUAUAAUGACUGCUUCGAGAUUUAUGCAGACGAAUGAAUAAAGUUCGAAAUGCUUUGAGAUAUAUGCAAAUAAUCUACAUCAAAAAAAAAUGCCGAUCAUUCUUUCGCAUAAAAGAGACAAUCCGAACCCUUGCUUUAUCCCAUGAUGGAAGCAUAACUAACCAGCCAUGACAC
This 319-nucleotide long non-coding RNA is filed under the name Elaeis guineensis (African oil palm). Its description in RNAcentral is "long non-coding RNA (EGUI_LNC022446)". The record is from RNAcentral. Lineage: Eukaryota; Viridiplantae; Streptophyta; Magnoliopsida; Arecales; Arecaceae.